UCUCAGUGAUAUAAUCCCAGGAGCUCCUUCUGACCCUCCGUGCUGGACUGAGUAGCAGGGAAGUGGAGAGUCCAGUGGCUGAGAGA
RNAcentral lists this small nucleolar RNA (86 nucleotides) under Carlito syrichta (Philippine tarsier). The record is from RNAcentral. Lineage: Eukaryota; Metazoa; Chordata; Mammalia; Primates; Tarsiidae.